RNAcentral lists this ribosomal RNA (216 nucleotides) under Glomeromycotina sp. RNAcentral's name for it is "partial small subunit ribosomal RNA". The stretch from base 40 to 216 matches the Rfam family "Eukaryotic small subunit ribosomal RNA", at positions 686 to 864 of the family's 1831-position model. Lineage: Eukaryota; Fungi; Glomeromycota. The record is from RNAcentral.
GGGUCAGUAGGUUGGUCGUGCCACCGGUACGUACUGGUCUCACUGAUUCCUCCUUCCUGAAGAACCGUAAUGCCAUUAAUUUGGUGUUGCGGGGAGACAGGACUGUUACUUUGAAAAAAUUAGAGUGUUUAAAGCAAGCUAACGCUUGAAUACAUUAGCAUGGAAUAAUGAAAUAGGACGAUCGAUCCUAUAUUGUUGGUUUCUAGGAUUGACGUA